GUUUCAGCCGCCGCGGUAAUACGGAGGGUGCAAGCGUUAUCCGGAUUUAUUGGGUUUAAAGGGUCCGUAGGCGGACUAUUAAGUCAGUGGUGAAAGCCCAUAGCUCAACUAUGGAAUUGCCAUUGAUACUGAUAGUCUUGAGUACAAGUGAGGUUGGCGGAAUGUGUGGUGUAGCGGUGAAAUGCUUAGAUAUCACACAGAACACCGAUUGCGAAGGCAGCUGGCCAACUUGUAACUGACGCUGAGGGACGAAAGUGUGGGGAUCAAACAGGAUUAGAAACCCCUGUAGUCC
This 292-nucleotide ribosomal RNA is filed under the name uncultured bacterium. Its description in RNAcentral is "partial 16S ribosomal RNA". It matches the Rfam family "Bacterial small subunit ribosomal RNA", at positions 505 to 796 of the family's 1533-position model. The record is from RNAcentral.